AGAAUGGUGUGAACCCAGGAGGUGGAGCUUGCAGUGAGCUGAGAUUGCGCCACUGCACUCCAGCCUGGGGACUCAAAAAAAAAACCACAACUGAAUCUAGAAUUAUGUCUUAUUUCUCCCAUCCUUCUCCUUUGGACUAAAGAUUAGGUAUUUCUUCCCAACUCUCCUCUAGAUCAGUUGAGAACAACCAAGACCACCACCGCCAAAGCAAAUGCCAAUUUUCAGCUGGGGUCUCUUAGCUCAAGACAGAAUAGAAAGCUCUGCAGCAGGCUGAGUGCCCCAGGAACCAUCAGUAGGAACAGUGCCACUACUGAAUACCCCAAGUGCUUGUCAAUGGCUUCCUAACAAAUGGCUUCAUUUAGACUCUCCUACAGGUCAGCCGCUGCAUGUCCACCCGAGACUGCUAAAGGUCACACUCCUGCACUCUCUUUCCUUUUCUGGAAAAUGACCUUGAAACCGUAAUGAGCCUGGAGGAAGCCAACCAGACAGGAAAUAAACCCGCUUGGGUGCGUGUGCUUGUGGAAGAGUUUUGGAAGACCUUCCAUCCCCUGGGAAAACACUUGUUUGAUACAGUCAUGGCCAGCUAUUAUUCGUGAUCUCAUUGGUGGGAAGGCUGGUGGGGAUUGAUUUCAAAAUGAACUUUAAGCUAAGAGGGCAGCUAGGAGGUGGCUCUGAGAGGCUCUGUUGACAGGGGCCAGUGGUGAUGUCAGAGGAGCUCGGGUCAGGAAUUCUGGGGCAAGGGCAGAGUUGAUGAACCUUAUUUUUAGAUGGUGUUGAUAUUUUUAGUGAAAGUCCAACAGCCUCUCCAUUUUUGGUUGGGGGGAUAGAGGGAGAAGGGAUGACUUCCUGGAGUUAGUCAUUUCCUCUGCUGGUGAAGAGAUUUGGCGGUGCUCCUAUGUCAUAGGAAGUGCCUGGAGAUGGUAAACACUGCUGACAUAAUGGGAACUUACACCAUGGGUGUGUCAGAGCACACAUAUUCCUUCCUGGACCCUGGGCCAGGUGAGUGGGGGAUGCUUCCUGUUUUUGGCUCUAGGAGGAUUUUCAACUUCUGGGAGCUGCUCUGGAGAAUAAAUCACAAGAACUGCUGGGCUAAGCAGCUGAGGCCACAGACAUCAGAAAGUGAUUCGGUGGCAAGAAUUGUGGAAUGUGCCCUGGCAGUUCCCAGAACUGCCGAGUCAUCUUAUCCUCUCUGAGGUGUAUAUGGGGCCAAGUGGGUUUGGUUCCAAUACCAUAAAGCGAUCCUCAUCUGAAAUUUGCUCGCUUGCCAGAGAUGCCCUUAGUGCCUGGAUCUCAUCCAUGACUAAAUUCAUUCAGCAGAGCCUCCUGAUUGCGCCUCUGAAAUCUCCUAUGAGUCUGGUUCCUGCACUGUACCUCUCCAGAUGUCCGUCACCUCUUGUAUGGAUUAGUAGAUCACCCGCUCUCCCUGACAAUGAUCUCUUCCAUGUGGGCCCUCCUCCACACUGCUGGUAGUAGGCGCGGUCUUGGAAAACACAUAGCAACCUUGUCACCGUUCCCCUUCUCCCUUGUCCAUAGUAGAUAUUGCUAAUCGCUCACGGCACUUUAACUACUAAGCCCAGACAUAGGUGACCACCCAGUCUUUCUUAACAUUAUCCUUCAGCUCUCAUGACUAAUCACUUGGAAAUGGCAUUUGACAUAAAGUCAAUUUGCUAUCUUGGUGCUCGUGUUAUCUUCCUAAAAACGAAAUCCAAUUGUGGCUUUUCUCUGAUGUGAGACUUCCUGUCUUCCUAGUGCCUUCAAAAUGAAUGCCAACUGCUUGGCAGGUGCCUAGGAACUAAAGCAUCUCACCUCUCCUUCCUGUGCGGCCUCAUCUUCUCACCUCUCCUUUCCCAACUUCCACUUUUUCCCUAUGCAUGCCUUGGGGAAUGUCACACUCUUUCCCAGAUACACUUUGCUUUUCUGUGACUCCUGGGUUUGUAUGGGGUGUUCUUGCUUUCUGGAUUUUCCUCUUUCCUUUUUCCUAGCCAUAAACUCUCAUUUUUUCAAACUCUCCAUAUUUCUCUUCUGCUGUAUUUCCAAGAUCUCACUAGGCAAAGUCAGGCACCUUUUCUGUGUUCUCUUGGGCUUCUGUUUUUGCCUCUGUUAAAGCAUUGUUAUUGUAAUAUGUUCUCAUGCUGUAUAUAUGUUACAAUAUAUUGUGGUUAUUACAUGAAUUAUAUGCAUUAUAAUUAUGGUCAUGCAUUUGCUUACUUAUUCAACACAUUUAUUGACUGCCUUCUAUGUGUUGUGUUACUAAUAGGUAAAUUAAUACGUGGAAUAAAUGUUUAAUGAACAUGUUUUUGACUAAACAAAUAAAUGAUAUUUCCUUGCUCAUCGAAGAUGCCAUUAGCCCUUGUAUUUCUAAAGUAGCUUCUUCAAAACCAC
Molecule: long non-coding RNA, 2382 nt
Filed under: Homo sapiens (human)
Lineage: Eukaryota; Metazoa; Chordata; Mammalia; Primates; Hominidae
Description: HSALNT0308415
Source: RNAcentral